GCUGAUAUACGCCCGCGACAGCCCCAAACGCUAGAGCAGUUCAACUCCUUGCGGGUCCCCAAUCUCAGGUACUCCCAUUAAUCCUAUCUGAUGCUUCCUAUGAGUACCAGCCUCGCAUGCAUGCUCAGGUUGGUGCUGCUGGAUUGAAUCGGUUAACAUUGGUGCUUUUUCUUGCCAAAGUUGGAUUCAUUGAGCUACACGUCCACGCCUCAAUCACUCAGAACAAGUUGAUUGCUGGAUGGUAACUUCGUUAUAGCUAAACCAUUUUUAUUAGAUUAACUAAAUUGGAUUCCAUUAAUCUUAUUUGUAUAUGUUCCCUUGACUGCAUAAUUAGCAGUUCCGUUUUCGAAUUAAACAACUGGUCCUUUGGUUUGGCAGUGUUUAUCUCUUUUGAUGAUUCUUUUACACUACUGUUUCUGUUAGAUACUAAUUGAGUUUCAGCUUUGAUUUAUUAACAUGCAUGUCCAUUCUAAUAGACAUUCAUUUCAGGUUUGGACCUUUCUUGGUGGAUGUGUCUCCUUACUUCAUCUCUUUUACUUUCAACUUUGUCGCAACCAUAGAGGAUUCUUAAUUUGAUUCUUCUGGUAUGUAUGUGGUUGCAGCACCCUGUUUGAAAUAUAAUAUAUCAUGUUCUCUGCACCGUCGCUGAUUUUCAAUAGUAACAAUUUCGUACUCCUCCAGCACCAUAUUUCAUUAGGAUAAUGUUAUUGCUUCUUGAGGUUUAUUUAUAGACAUGGGAUGUUCUCAAAGUUUAAUCUUAAUAUAGGUUCAUACGGACUCGGUCGGACAAAGCAAUUUCAUUUGAGCAGAAAUGAUACUAAAUCACCUGUCAGUUAAUCCUUUCAUGUAGGAGAACCAUUAUACUAAUCAGAAGAUGCAUGCGUUCUGGCAUCCACUAAGGGUGACCCCUUUUUUAGUUUUGUCACAUAAUGUUAGUUACUCACCUUAGAGAACCCCCUUUUUUAUCUUCUAUAAGGUUGCCUGCUACUGCUAGCGUAUGCAAGUAAAAGCAGCUAUUUGCACCAUCAUUCAUUGCUUCAAACUUCUGUUGAUCAAUUCACACCCAAAAAAACGCUUACUUGACUGGCUACUAUCAAAUCAAAAUUUUAUAAAACGGACAAUCUAGCACUCAUAUGUCAUAUGACAAUUGCAAAUCUCUCACAGUCUAUCGAAGGGAAAAAGGUGUACAUGUUUUUUAGCUUUUACCUUUAUAAAUGUAUAAGUAUCAUGUACUUAUCUACUUGCUUCCUCAACGCCCCCCUUUAUUAUCCUCUCUAACCUAUUACUAUAUAGUGCAGUGUCAAAUAAUAUAGUUCACACUAUUAGAUAAUUAAGAAAAUAUCUGAGUGACCAAAGCAUUGUUCACCCAGUAGGUUGCAAUACACUCUAUGCAUACUUACGCUUUUGUAACAUUGUUGUUCUCGAAUUCUCAAUACCAGUUUGGCAUUUCAUUCUUUCAUUUAUAAGAAAAUCCUUAACGUCAACUAAGUGUCCCGCAACAACGCACGGGGUAUCAUCUAGUUCAUUCAGUUUGACUGUGCGUAAACACUAUAGUGUACAACUAUCAACUUGUUUCACUAUUCAGUUUGUCAUCCAUUCAGCUUACUUACUGGGGCAUAUUUCUUGUGAGAGUUUACUUGAUAGUACAAUAUGUCAGAAGAAACUACCAUUUCUCCGGAAUGAAUCAUUGAUUGCUCUUUAUACACUUACAACUCGGUUUCUUUCAUAUAAGUUCUGAUGCCUUUCUUUAGGUCGAGCUACUGCCCUGUUAAUUAUUGUAACAAACUUUAUCAUUUGCCAGUUUGCACUGUGUUGAGAACUGACCAAUAAGUUUUGUUUGCCAAUUAGCUUUCUGUGUGCAUGCUCUUAAUCCCCAUAUUACUAAUUUCUGAAUCAAACAUUAUUAUUUCUGUCCUCAACAAGUCGCAGCGCUAUGUUCUGUUUUUUGUUUAGUUAGCUCUGUCAAAUAUAAUCAACCUGCCUAUGUUCCAUUUUGCUAUUUGUACUUAGGUAGAAAAAGCUAAAAUCUGUACAUGUAAUGCUGAAGCUAUAUUGGUUGCUUGUUUCUUAAUUUUUUCUUCUAUAAUGAUGAUCUGAAAUGCCACGCAGGUCAUUAUUGGUGGUGCUACUGCUGUUGUUGUGGUUGUUGGAGGUGUUGCUGUUGCAUCUGGCGGAGCUGCCGUUGGGGCCCCAAAAGGUAACCUUCAUCAGCCACAACCCCACAACAAUGGCUCAAGGUUCUGUGCCCUAUCACCCCUCUUUCUAAAUUACUGAAAUGAACCAAGAUCUCAUAUAUUUAGGAACGGAGGUAGUAGUAAGGUUAAAAUAGAAAAGCAAGGGAUGUUUCUAAUUUGGUUAUGCUAGAAUAAUGCAUCAACUCGUGGCAUUCUUGGAUGUUACUCUAAGGUGUCAAAAUGAUAGUAAAACCUAGGCUCUUGCAUGGUUCUUGAAUUAAUUUUUCUAUUUUAUGGCUAACAAAUAUUGCCUAUGUUGAGACUCUAAACAUGUGGAUUUUCCUCUCAUUUAUAGGAAUUCUACCUGAAGAAAUUCGGAGAAAACUUGAAGCCCCAGUUAGCGACUUGCUUUAUAUGUUAUUGACUUGUCAUGCUAAAUUUGUUGAGAAUUUUGAUAUACUAUUGCACAUGUUACUCGAAUGCUGGUAGUUAUGUACAUAUACUCACAAUAUUAUCCGUUGUUUACUUGAAAUGCAUUCUUGGGCUGAAAGUGGCUGAAAAAGUAUAUGCUGUGUUGAUUCUGCGUUGAUUGUGUAUGUCUAUUCUACAAAAGAAGAGGCACGGUCCAAAUGGAAUUAGUACUGAAAUGUCUAUUUGACCUAAUCUAUUUGGGCUUUGAAAAG
This 2857-nucleotide long non-coding RNA is filed under the name Triticum aestivum (bread wheat). RNAcentral describes it as "long non-coding RNA (TAES_LNC010241)". The record is from RNAcentral. Lineage: Eukaryota; Viridiplantae; Streptophyta; Magnoliopsida; Poales; Poaceae.